This is a long non-coding RNA of Neofelis nebulosa (Clouded leopard), 7682 nucleotides long. RefSeq lists it as uncharacterized. Lineage: Eukaryota; Metazoa; Chordata; Mammalia; Carnivora; Felidae. The record is from RefSeq and is a predicted model, not a curated record. The transcript has 2 exons.
UGUAAUCAUCUCCCCAAACUCCAUAGUUUGGUAAUAAAUUAACAUUUUUAACAAGUGAAAAAUGCUUAUGUAGAUACGUAAUGACUUGAGGUCUUAGUUUCCUUCUCUAUAAAAAUGAAAGCAUUAGUCUAGGUGAUGUCUAACGUCCUUUACAUCUUGAAUAUUAAAAACAAAAAGAAAAACCCAAUACAGCUAAUUCAGUUUUUCACUACUGAGUAUGCUAUUAGCUUUGGACUUGUCUUAUAUGGCCUUUAUUAUGUACAGGUACAUUCCCUCUAUAACUACUUUGUUGAGAGUUUUUAUCAUGAAUGGAUGUUGAAUUUUGUCAAAUGCUUUUUCUGCAUCAUAGGAAUGAGAUGGGAUCAUAUGAUUUUUAUCCUUCAUUUUGUUAAUGUGGUUUAUCACAUUGAUGGAUACGCAGAUAUUGAAUCAUCCUGGCAUUCCUAGAGUAAAUCUCACUUGAUCAUGGGAUAUGAUCCUUUUAAUGUAUUGCUUAAUUUGGUUUGCUAGUAUUUCGUUGAGGAUUUUUACAUCUAGUUCAUUAAGGAUAUUGUCCUGCAAUGUUACUCUUGUAGUGUCCUUCUCUUAUUUUGUAACAAGGUAAAGCUAGUCUCAUAAGAUGAUUUUGGAAGUGAUCUCCCCACCCCCUUAAUAAGUUCCUUGGGGGAUGAAUGGUUACAAUUUACUAAUGUAGUUAUAUAUAAUAUGAGUAUCCAAGAACUCUGAUGAUCUGCAGAUAAGAAAUAUUAGUUUAUAUUUUUUACUAUGUAUAUUAAGAGAAAUUCUAUGUCAUCAGAGGCAAAAAUUACCCCCAAUAGUUGUUCUGAAAAAAGAUUAAAACAUCAAUAUAUUGGAAACUAGAAGAAAUGGAUUAAUUCCUAGAAACAUACAACCUACCAAGAUUGAAUCAUGAGAAAAUAGAAAAUCUGAACAUACUGAUUCCUAGUAAGGAGGUUGAUUCUGUAACCAAAAAUCUCCCAACAAAAAUGAGUCCAAGACUAGAUGACUUCAUGGUAAAUCCUACCAUGUGAGAUGGAGACCAAUCAUGUGGUAAUGGUAGCAAAGGAUCAAUAAGCAAUGCUAGAUGUAGAAAUCAUACUGAAUAUUUACAAACAGAAGAUCUUUAUCUUACAUUGUUAUAAAAGAAUAAGGUAAAAUAUCACACAGAUACUUUCUGGAUAUUUUUAAUGUCUACUUGAAUUGGGUUACUGUAUUAUCCUUUGCCAGUAGAUAACACUAUCUGAUAUGAUAUCCUCUCAACAACCAGGAUAUUAUAUUCCUUACAUUCUAGACCUCAAAUACUUUUUAAAAAUUAGUUUCCUUUAUUGUCUGUUUUAUAAAAUUGAAAGUCUGUAUUUCAAGUUUCUUGAAAAUGAAGGUCAUUUUAAUUAUCUUGAACAUUUUAACAUUAUAAAAGCUUUUCCUUUAUUCCUCUUUCUUUUCUCCUUUCCUUUCUCCAUUUAAUCUUCAGAGUUUGCAUUUUCCCUCUUCAAUGAAAUUUCUCUUUUUCUAUAGUAUUGCAAGUAAAGUGACACUUGAUUUUGCUUUAGUUUGAUAUGGUAGCAGCAGAAGCAUAUGAAAUUUCUUCAAAUUUCUUUCCAACUCUGGCUCUAAUUUUGUUAUUUCUGAGCACAUACAUUUUUUGAAAUAGACAUUGUAUUUUUCCCUUAUAAAACUCAACACCCAGGAAAUGAAUAAUCCAAUUAAAAAUGGGCAGAUGAUUUGAACAUUUUUCCAAAGAGAAUAUACCGAUGUCCAAUAGACACGUGAAAAGAGGCUCAACAUCACUGAUUAUCAGGGAAAUACAAAUCGAAACCACAAGGAGGUAUCACCUCACACCUGUUAGAAUGGCUAAAAUCAACAACACAAGAAACAAGUGUUGGUGAGGAUGUGGAGAAAGGGGAACCCUUUUGCACUGUUGGUGGGAAUGCAAACUGGUGCAGCUACUCUGGAAAACAGUGUGGAGGUUUCUCAAAAAGUUAAAAAUGGAAUCACCUCUGAUCCAGCAAUUGCACUAACUAGGUAUGUAUUUACCCAAAGAAUACAAAAAUAACUAAUUCAAAGGGAUACAUGCACCCUGAUGUUUAUAGCAACGUUAUCUACAAUAGCCAAAUUAUGGAAACAGCCUAAGUGUGCAUCAUCUGAUGAAUGGAUAAAGAAGUUGUGGUGUGUGUACACACACACACACACACACACACACACACACACACACACAUAUAUGCAUAUAAUGAAAUAUUACUCAGCCAUCAAAAAGAAGGAGAUCUUGCCAUUUGCAAUGUGGAUGGAGCUAGAGAGUAUUAUGCUAAGUGAAAUAAGUCAGUCAGAGAAAGACAAAUACCAUAUGAUUUCACUUAUAUGUGGAAUUUAAGAAACAAAACAAGCAAAGGGAAAAAUAGGAGCAAACCAAGAAACAGACUCUUAAGUAUAGAGAAUAGACUGAUGGUUACCAGAAGGGAGGUGGGUGGGGGGGAUGUGUUAAACAGGUGAUGGUGAUUAUGCAAGGCACUUGUGAUGAGCACUGGGUGUCAUAUGGAAGUGUUGAAUCACUGAAUUGUACACCUGAAACUAAUAUUACACUAUAUGUUAACUAAUUGGAAUUUAAAUAAAAACUUAAAAAGAAAUAGAUACUAUAUUUCAAUUGGGUAUUUCCCAAGUAACACAGUGCUUAAAAAAGUCUAGGAGAAAAUAUCAGUAAGUAUUGAUGUGAUCCUCAAUAGAGAAGAACUUCCUAAGCCUAAGGACAAUGGAAAAAAAUAAAAGAUUAAUAGAUUUAUGUGUUAAUAAGUUAAUAUACACAAUAUAUUUAAAUACAAAAAUAAUAAAAUCAUAGAUUUAAAUGGCACACUAAAAAUUUUUAGUUCUUUAGUUUUGUUUAAAGAUAAUGCCUCAUGCUGUGUAUGAUAUGAUCAUGUUCAUAAAUCUCUGGGAGUAUAAAAUGUUACAACUUUCCUGGAAUGUAACUUGGUAUCUUAAUAUCAGGAAUAUUGAAAUUACCCACAGCAUUUUUUUGGACCUCAGGAUUCUGUUAUAAGAAAAUCUAUUUUAGGGGUGCUUGGGCGGCUCAGUCGGUUGAUCUUGGAGUCAGCCCUCAGAUUCUCUCUCUCCCUCUCUCUGCAGCUUCCCCACUUGUGCUUGCUCUUACGUGCGCUCUCUCUCUCUCUCUCUAAAUAAACAUUUUUUAAAGAAACAAAACAGGGGUGCCUGGGUGGCUCAGUUGGUUAAGCGUCAGACUCUUGAUUUCAGCUCAGGUCAUGAUCUCACAGUUGGUGACUUGAAGCCCUGUGUUGGGCUUUGCACUGACAGUGAGGACCUUGCUUGGGAUUCUCUCUCUCCCUCUCCCUCUGCCCCUCUCCUGCUUGCAUUCACUCUCUGUCAAAAUAAAUUUUAAAAAAUCUACCUUAAAUAAUUGUACAUGUAUAUAAAUAUUUAUAUGUAAAGAUACUUCCUGCAGUAUUAUUCAAAAUCAAUAAAAAUAAAAAUAAAAUCAAAAAUAGAAAACAAUCCAAAUAUUCCUCGGCGAUUAAAUAUAGAAUUGUGUACUUAUACAGUAUAGUAUUAUGAAGUCAUUAAAAUGUUUGCAAAAAUUUUUAUAAAGUUUUAAAAUGCUUAUGUUAUAAUGGUAAUUAAGACAGGAAGAUAACCUGCAUAAAACAUGACUUCAUGUAUUUGGGAGAAAAGAGAAGAUUCAAAAGACAUAUACAAAUUGUGAGUGAUUUUUCUUUUUAAGAAAGAAAUUGUGAGUGAUUUUUUUUAAGUUUAUUUUCAGAAAGAGAGAGAGAGCGAGGAAGGAGAGCAUAAGAGCAUGAGUGGGAGAGAGAGAAUCCCAAGUAGGCUCCGCACUGUCAGUGCAGAGCUUAACAUGGGGCUCAAACUCACAAACGGUGAGAUCAUGACCUGAGCUGAAACCAAGAUUUGGACACUUAACCAACUGAGCCACCCAGGCGCCCCUAUAUCGUAUUUUAAUGAAGGGAAAAACAUUGAAAAACAAACAUAGUAGAGAUCACAUUUGCUGUGAAACAUGACAGUAGAAUUUUCGGAUGAUUAAUUCUUCAAGCAGUGUAUUGCAUAUUCCUAAAAAGAAAUAAGACAGGAAAAAAUGGAAAAAGUAUUUUUUGUGUAAAGGUAUAUUUUGUUUACUCAUAUGGCAAAGCAUACUCAUUCACCGGACAUUGUGAGAAUACCUUCUAGGUUAGGAGCAAACUACUACACACUCACGUUAUAUCUGCACAAAGAAGGCAUGAUCCUUGACACCAGGGAUCUUUGUAUCUAGUAGGGAAGAUAAAAGAUGUUCAUAAAGAAUUGUUAAGCUAAUGCAUUUAAGAUGAUGUAAAGCAUGAUAAAGUAUUCUGGAAGUCUGGAGGUAAAAAGUCACUCAGGGAGGAUGAGAAAAGAUUGUGGAAAGGGUGACAUUCAGAUGGGCCCUUAGAGAGUGAGUCUGAUUUCAGUCUUUAGAAGUACAAGGGAAUGCAUUCCAGGCAGAGGAAAGACAUAGUCAAACAAACAUGAGAUGAGAAAAUAUGGGAGCAGCUUCUAGAUCAAUGAAAACUUUUUAAAAUAACAACUUUUUAUAAGACUUUAUAGUCUAGUGGUUUUAAUGUAUUUACAGAGGUGUAUAACUGCCACCAAUAAUCUAAUUUUGGAACAUUUUAGAACAUUUUCAUCACCCCCAAAAGAAACCCUGUUACCUAUUAGUAGUCAGUCCCCAUUUUUCUUCCUCUCCAGAUUCUGGCAACCAUGAAUCUAUUUUCUGUCUGUAUGGAUUUGCUUAUUCUGGACAUUUCAUAUAAAUGGAAUCCUAUAACAUGUUGACCUUUUCUGACUAGCCUCUUUCACUUAGCAUGACGUUCAUCCACGUUUUAGUAUGUAUCAGUACUUUAUUUCUUUUCAUUGCCAAACAUUAUCCUGUAUGGAUAUACCACAUUUUAUUUAUUCAUUCAUCAGCUGAUAGGCAUUUGGGUUGUUUCCACCUUUUAGCUGUUGUGAAUAAUGGUGCUAUGAAUGUGUGUGCAAGUUUUUAUAUAGGCAUGUUUUCAGUUCUCUUGGGUUUAACCUAGGUGUGGAAGAGCUGGAUCAUAUAGUAAGUUCUCAAUUGUUGCAAGCCUUUGGUUAAUUUCCAAAGUUCUGGAAGACUUGAUUCUUCACAUUUGCCAGUAUUCUUAUUGCUUUUAUGAAUGAGCAACAAGAUUUUUUUCUAAGAUCUUUUUAAAGAUCCUUGCACUGCCAUUCUGGAAUUGCUUCUCCUGAAUACUGUUUGUUUGUGUGCCAUGAGGUGGGUUGGUGCCAGAUGCUGGUGUGCCUUUUUAAGACCAUUUUUUUAAAAUGCUUCUGAGCAGGAGUGCAACUUGUUAUUCCUUGGUCAUAGAGCUGUUUAUGCCUUAGAAACUGGAACAGAGCAUACAGAUGCCUCAGUGCAUUUAGGGGCACUUUCCACAGGCCAAUAAAAAUAACUCUGUGGAGAGCCAAAGCAUAAGAGGCUCUUAAAAACUGAGAACAACUGAGGGUUGAUGGGGGGUGGGAGGGAGGGGAGGGUGGGUGAUGGGUAUUGAGGAGGGCACCUUUUGGGAUGAGCACUGGGUGUUGUAUGGAAACCAAUUUGACAAUAAACUUCAUAUAUUGAAAAAAAAAGGAAUAAAAAAUAAAUUAAAAAAAAAAAAACUCUGUGGGGAAAGCAUGGCAGCAUGCAUGACACACUGGGUAGACCUGGGGAUGUGGAAGGGAAUGUUGAAGAGAAUAUCAAACUUUGCUACUGCCUGUUUGAGAUUGAGCUGCUGUAUAUCAUUUUCUUGUUUUUAGCUGGGAUAAUAUUGCUUCUCCAUACAAGAGAUAUUCUCUGGGCAUAGAGGCACUUUCCCCAUGACUUUUCUUUACAGGUGGGGGAGGUGAAUGCACAGUUCCUUUACUAGUCACAUCUCAGUAGCCAGGGACAGAAAUCAAGUAUCUUAUCUUGAUAAGUAUGUUAUCAGGUGUCUUAUCAAGUACAGGUAAGAAUUGAAAGACCUGGGGAAGUUUAACCUGGAGGAGAGUGAAUAUAAGGGGUUAAUAGGGCAUCUCUCUUCAAAAAGCUGAAAGAUAGGCAUGUGGAAAGCAGAAUAAAUUUAUGUCAACUUCUGUAGAAGACAGUACUAGGACCAAUGGAUCAAAGUUGUAGGAAGGUGGAUUUUUAGGUCUUCUAAAAAGAGAUCUGGCAAUAAGAGCUGGUUUCUUCUGUUCAAAAGUAGUUAGCACCAGCUACUUCUUAGGGAUUGUCAAAGGAAUUCCUGAUUGAGAGAAAGUCUGAAACUAAGGGGGCCUUGCUUAUUUGAAGACUACAUCUAAUAUUUUUCAUGUGUCAUAAUGCCUAUGAAGAGAAGUGGCUUGCCUCAGACUCUUGCUUAAACAAACCUUAGUUCAUUUCUAUUAGUUCCUACCCAAAAGUGAAAUUUUCCUUUAAGAAUAUAAGGGACCUCUCAGAAUUCAAGGAAUAGUUGUACAGCUAGGCUCAGGAAAAAGAACUAAGAUAGCUGUGAGGAACUCAACUGCACCUUUGUUUUAAUACUCUGCCUCACUGACAUGGUUAGUUUCCAAAUACCAGCUUAUGUGCCUUUAAUUUGAAAUUUUCAUAUGAGAUGCUCUGAUUGCCUUGUUUUGAGUCAUGAGUCUACCCUUGAUCCAAUCAGCUAUAGACAAGAAGAAAGGGUCAUAUAAUAGAAGUAAGAUUAAAAUGGUGGCAGGCCUAGGCUUUCUCCUCUGGAUAGUGGUCAGUAGCUCUAAGAGGGGAGAUAGAGUAAGUCACAGACUAGCUAGACACCCCCCAAAAUAUUUAUUACAUUUUCAAAAAUGUCAGCCAGGAUUUCGGCUGUUUGAGUCUGUUUUGGACAACCGAUAUUUAUUAUGUAAUUAUUAUAUGCAAGGUGCCAUGAUAGAUGAUAGGCAGAAUGUAAAAUAUAAUAUAUGUUCCCUGACCUCUGGGUACUUACAAUCACUUUGUCCAUUAGACUGUUCAUUGUUUAAUUGGUUAUCUUGUGUGAAUUUCACUUUGGGAGGACUAACCUACUAAUUAUGUAGAGGCUCCAUAUAAACUUGAGAACAUUUCUCAGUUGUAUAUUAAAGACAUUUGCUUUUUCUAAAUGUCCCCGCAUGUAAUAUUUGUAUAGGUCAAUGCUAAAAGACUGUCAUAAGCUCAAGUCCCCCAAAUAAGCAAAAUGCCCAAUCCUUCCUCCCCAAAGAUAAUGAGUUGUAUGUCUUACAUUGCUGGGAAUAUAUCACAUUAAAAUGUGUGCUUAUUUUUAUAUGUACAUAAGGUGGAAUAUAACAUUAAAUUUUUUUUAAUGUUUAUUUUUGAGAGAGAGAGAGACAGAGCUCGAGCAGGGAAGGGGCAGAGAGAGAGAGGAGACACAGAAUCUGAAGCAGUCUCCAGGCUCUGAGCUGUCAGCGCAGACCCGGAUGUGGGGCUCAAACCCACAGACUGUGAGAUUAUAACCUAAGCUGAAGUCAGAUGCUAAACCGACUCAGCCACCCAGGAUCCCUGAAGAUAACAAAUGUUUUAAGUGUCUGUGAGCUACCCAAUAUGCUAGGAAUAGGAAGCAUAUCAACUAGUACAACAGAUGGUUACAUAGAGUGGAGAAGACAGAGGUGAGAAUGAGAGAGAAGUAAUCUUUUUGUUUCUCAAAGCCAUGAGCAGGAAUAAUAAAACAUUGUAUGCA